CUGCGGCUAGCGCUCUACUGGCUGAGCUGGGCAGCGACUCCCCUGCCAGGGGGCGCUAUCCUACCACACAGCUCCCAGUUUUCUGUUAUGCAGAGAGGUACUGGUGAGUGCUUGGACCACAAAUCUCUUGGAGAUUACAUCUGAAUGGCACCCUUCAAUUAAUCCGCUUUCACAAGGUACUGAACAUCUACUGAUCUCAUGUACUUCAGUGAAGUCAACAAGGAUCUACAAGAAUGCAAGUGUUCCCUCAUACAGUCACUCUGGAUUGAGUAAAUGGAUGAGACCUUGGAUGCUGUAGCAGGUUCAGUCUGGUUUUCCAUACUGGAUAUUAAAAGUGAUACUGGUGGUUGAAAGGAGAUCAGGCUGGGGAAAAAAAGCCUAUGUAGAUUUGGGUGGGAGUCAAAUCAUUUUGGAGUGGUGAUGUGAAAAAAUCUUUACAGAAAAGCAUUCAGUAAAUAUGUAAAUAGUCAGAAAAAGGGGAAACAAAGGGAAGCUGCAAGAGCGGUCAUGAGCCCCUCUUCAGCAGGGUGCGUCAUUUCCAGUGCCUGGAGCAGCCAGCAGAGAGAUUCUGAAAGAUUGAGGAUAUGGUGCUUUGCCUCCGCAUGAGAUAUAUCAAUCUAUCAAAAGGAGAGUUGAAGGGGAUGUGUCCUACUUGCCACUGCCAAAUGGGCCAGAGACUUUUUCAAUUACUUUGAAAACACAAUCAAUUUUUCAGGGACAUCACUGGAAGGCUUCAACACUAAACUCCUACCACUACGGCACAAAUCCUCACCCAAAUCAAACAGCGCUCAGGACAACAGACCAAAACAAUAGCAAAUCGAAACUAACAAGCUUGACUGCUAGAGCCACCACACUAGGAUCCAGACUUAACUUGUGAGGUGUU
Mauremys reevesii (Reeves's turtle) is the source of this 883-nucleotide long non-coding RNA. RefSeq lists it as uncharacterized. The transcript has 8 exons. Lineage: Eukaryota; Metazoa; Chordata; Testudines; Geoemydidae. The record is from RefSeq and is a predicted model, not a curated record.